This 426-nucleotide ribosomal RNA is filed under the name uncultured soil bacterium. Its description in RNAcentral is "bacterial SSU rRNA". It matches the Rfam family "Bacterial small subunit ribosomal RNA", at positions 26 to 454 of the family's 1533-position model. The record is from RNAcentral.
AGAUUGAACGCUGGCGGCAUGCCUUACACAUGCAAGUCGAACGGCAGCACGGGAGCAAUCCUGGUGGCGAGUGGCGAACGGGUGAGUAAUACAUCGGAACGUGCCCAAUCGUGGGGGAUAACGCAGCGAAAGCUGUGCUAAUACCGCAUAAGAUCUACGGAUGAAAGCAGGGGAUCGCAAGACCUUGCGCGAAUGGAGCGGCCGAUGGCAGAUUAGGUAGUUGGUGAGGUAAAGGCUCACCAAGCCUUCGAUCUGUAGCUGGUCUGAGAGGAGACCAGCCACACCUGGACGUGAGACACGGCCCGACGACUCCUACGGGAGGCAGCAGUGGGGAAUUUUGGACAAUGGGCGAAAGCCUGAUCCAGCCAUGCCGCGUGCAGGAUGAAGGCCUUGGUUGUAAACUUGCUUUUGUACGAACGAAAGUCU